Molecule: small nucleolar RNA, 89 nt
Filed under: Encephalitozoon cuniculi GB-M1
Lineage: Eukaryota; Fungi; Microsporidia; Unikaryonidae
Description: H/ACA snoRNA
Source: RNAcentral
GUGUUGGGCGCGUUGCUGGUCUUUUAUAAGUUCAAGUGUUCAAACUCAACAUAAAGCAGACGUGUUUAUUUGCAUCAAAUAGACAGACA